This 273-nucleotide long non-coding RNA is filed under the name Carica papaya (papaya). RNAcentral's name for it is "long non-coding RNA (CPAP_LNC011081)". The record is from RNAcentral. Lineage: Eukaryota; Viridiplantae; Streptophyta; Magnoliopsida; Brassicales; Caricaceae.
CCUGUGUGCCUGGGGCCUACACGCAAUGGCUAGGCCACUACUGCCUCGGGUAAUAUGCCACCAUCACCUUGGCGGUGUGCCGCCGCUGCCGGUGGAAGAGACCUUCCUCCCUCGUUUUUCAUGUCGAAUAUUUUUUUCUCUCUUUCUUUACCAAUUUUACCACUUGGCGCAAAUCAAAUAGUUCAUAAUUUCUAUAAAUAGGCCUUCCCUUCUCAUUCUUUCUCACACUUCCAUUCUUCCAUUUUUCAAGAUUUAUAGAGAGAGAAAGAGUGA